Molecule: transfer RNA, 72 nt
Filed under: Fasciola gigantica
Lineage: Eukaryota; Metazoa; Platyhelminthes; Trematoda; Plagiorchiida; Fasciolidae
Rfam family: tRNA
About the family: Transfer RNA (tRNA) molecules are approximately 80 nucleotides in length.
Source: Rfam by way of RNAcentral
GGCCCAGUGGUCUAGGGGUAUGAUACUCGCUUUGGGUGCGAGUGGUCCCGGGUUCGAAUUCCGGCUGGGCCC